RNAcentral lists this ribosomal RNA (396 nucleotides) under uncultured bacterium. RNAcentral's name for it is "partial 16S ribosomal RNA". It matches the Rfam family "Bacterial small subunit ribosomal RNA", at positions 523 to 918 of the family's 1533-position model. The record is from RNAcentral.
AUACGUAGGGGGCGAGCGUUGUCCGGAAUGAUUGGGCGUAAAGGGCGCGUAGGCGGCCCGGUAAGUCUGGAGUGAAAGUCCUGUUUUUAAGAUGGGAAUUGCUUUGGAUACUGUCGGGCUUGAGUGCAGGAGAGGUAAGUGGAAUUCCCAGUGUAGCGGUGAAAUGCGUAGAGAUUGGGAGGAACACCAGUGGCGAAGGCGACUUACUGGACUGUAACUGACGCUGAGGCGCGAAAGUGUGGGGAGCAAACAGGAUUAGAUACCCUGGUAGUCCACACUGUAAACGAUGAAUGCUAGGUGUAGGGGGACUGACCCCUUCCGUGCCGCAGUUAACACAAUAAGUAAUCCACCUGGGGAGUACGGCCGCAAGGUUGAAACUCAAAUGAAUUGACGGGG